UUGGAGGGCAAGUCUGGUGCCAGCAGCCGCGGUAAUUCCAGCUCCAAUAGCGUAUAUUAAAGUUGUUGCAGUUAAAAAGCUCGUAGUUGAACUUCGGGGUUCACCCAUUGGUCAGGCUUAAUUGUCUGUACUGGUGAGAUGAAUCUCUACCUUCUGAGGAACUUUCAUGCCAUUUAUUUGGUGUGAUUGGAAAUCAGGACUGUUACUUUGAAAAAAUUAGAGUGUUUAAAGCAGGCUAACGUCUGAAUACAUUAGCAUGGAAUAAUGAAAUAGGACGGAUUGAUUCUAUUUCGUUGGUUUCUAGGAUCACCGUAAUGAUUAAUAGGGAUAGUUGGGGGCAUUAGUAUUCAAUUGUCAGAGGUGAAAUUCUUGGAUUUAUUGAAGACUAACUACUGCGAAAGCAUUUGCCAAGGAUGUUUUCAUUAAUCAAGAACGAAAGUUAGGGGAUCGAAGACGAUCAGAUACCGUCGUAGUCUUAACCAUAAACUAUGCCGACUAGGGAUCGGACGCAGUUAAUUUUAUAAUGACGUGUUCGGCACCUUAUGGGAAACCAAAG
This 556-nucleotide ribosomal RNA is filed under the name uncultured Glomus. Its description in RNAcentral is "SSU rRNA". It matches the Rfam family "Eukaryotic small subunit ribosomal RNA", at positions 548 to 1103 of the family's 1831-position model. The record is from RNAcentral. Lineage: Eukaryota; Fungi; Glomeromycota; Glomeromycetes; Glomerales; Glomeraceae.